UAGGGGUUUGAUCCCUGGGCUCAGAUUGAACGCUGGGCGGGUAUGCCUAAUACAUGCAAAGUCGAACGGAAACGAUGGAAGCUUGCUUCCAGGCGUCGAGUGGCGGACGGGUGAGUAAUACUUGGGAAUCUGCCCAUUAGUUGAGAAAACACGAGAAACUCGUGCUAAUACCGAAUAAUCUCUUCGGAGGAAAGAGACCUCUAUUUAUAAGUUCUCGCUGAUGGAUGAGCCCAAGCAAGAUUAGCUAGUUGGUAAGGUAAUGGCUUACCAAGGCUACGAUCUUUAGCUGUUCUGAGAGGAUGAUCAGCCACACUGGGACUGAGACACGGCCCAGACUUUACGGGAGGCAGCGGUAGAGAAUAUUGCACAAUAAAGAAACCCUGAUGCAGCAAUACCGCGUGUGGAAGAAGGCUUUCGAGUUGUAAAGCACUUUCAAUAGAGAAGAAAAGUUUAAAGUUAAUACCCCUAAGCCUUGACGUUAUCUAUACGAGAGGC
RNAcentral lists this ribosomal RNA (495 nucleotides) under uncultured Gammaproteobacteria bacterium. RNAcentral's name for it is "bacterial SSU rRNA". It matches the Rfam family "Bacterial small subunit ribosomal RNA", at positions 1 to 491 of the family's 1533-position model. Lineage: Bacteria; Pseudomonadati; Pseudomonadota; Gammaproteobacteria. The record is from RNAcentral.